AGUGAACGCUGGCGGUAGGCCUAACACAUGCAAGUCGAACGGCAGCACAGUAAGAGCUUGCUCUUACGGGUGGCGAGUGGCGGACGGGUGAGGAAUACAUCGGAAUCUACUUUUUCGUGGGGGAUAACGUAGGGAAACUUACGCUAAUACCGCAUACGACCUACGGGUGAAAGCAGGGGAUCUUCGGACCUUGCGCGAUUGAAUGAGCCGAUGUCGGAUUAGCUAGUUGGCGGGGUAAAGGCCCACCAAGGCGACGCUCCGUAGCUGGUCUGAGAGGAUGAUCAGCCACACUCUGACAGAGAGACAGGGCAGAGACCCAAGGGAGGCAGCAGUGGGGAAUAUUGGACAAUGGGCGCAAGCCUGAUCCAGCCAUACCGCGUGGGUGAAGAAGGCCUUCGGGUUGUAAAGCCCUUUUGUUGGGAAAGAAAAGCAGCAGGUUAAUACCCCGCUGUUCUGACGGUACCCAAAGAAUAAGCACCGGCUAACUUCGUG
Molecule: ribosomal RNA, 492 nt
Filed under: uncultured bacterium
Lineage: Bacteria
Description: partial 16S ribosomal RNA
Rfam family: Bacterial small subunit ribosomal RNA
Source: RNAcentral